Molecule: ribosomal RNA, 516 nt
Filed under: uncultured bacterium
Lineage: Bacteria
Description: partial 16S ribosomal RNA
Rfam family: Bacterial small subunit ribosomal RNA
Source: RNAcentral
GACGAACGCUGGCGGCGUGCCUAAUACAUGCAAGUCGAGCGGACUUUCAUUGGUGCUUGCACCUUUUAAAGUUAGCGGCGGACGGGUGAGUAACACGUGGGUGACCUACCCUGUAGAUUGGGAUAACUCCGGGAAACCGGGGCUAAUACCGAAUAACACUUUUGAACUCAUGUUCGAAAGUUAAAAGAUGGUUUCGGCUAUCACUACAGAAUGUGCCCGCGGCCCAUUAGCUGGUUGGUGAGGUAACGGCUCACCAAGGCAACGAUGCGUAGCCGACCUGAGAGGGGGAUCGGCCACACUGGGACUGAGACACGGCCCAGACUCCUACAGGAGGCAGCAGUAGGGAAUCUUCCACAAUGGACGAAAGUCUGAUGGAGCAACGCCGCGUGAGUGAAGAAGGAUUUCGGUUCGUAAAACUCUGUUGCAAGGGAAGAACAAGUAGCGUAGUAACUGGCGCUACCUUGACGGUACCUUGUUAGAAAGCCACGGCUAACUACGUGCCAGCCGCCGCAGUAA